AAUCGGCCACAUUGGGACUGAGACACGGCCCAAACUCCUACGGGAGGCAGCAGUAGGGAAUCUUCCACAAUGGACGAAAGUCUGAUGGAGCAACGCCGCGUGAGUGAAGAAGGGUUUCGGCUCGUAAAACUCUGUUGUUAAAGAAGAACAUAUCUGAGAGUAACUGUUCAGGUAUUGACGGUAUUUAACCAGAAAGCCACGGCUAACUACGUGCCAGCAGCCGCGGUAAUACGUAGGUGGCAAGCGUUGUCCGGAUUUAUUGGGCGUAAAGCGAGCGCAGGCGGUUUUUUAAGUCUGAUGUGAAAGCCUUCGGCUCAACCGAAGAAGUGCAUCGGAAACUGGGAAACUUGAGUGCAGAAGAGGACAGUGGAACUCCAUGUGUAGCGGUGAAAUGCGUAGAUAUAUGGAAGAACACCAGUGGCGAAGGCGGCUGUCUGGUCUGUAACUGACGCUGAGGCUCGAAAGUAUGGGUAGCAAACAGGAUUAGAUACCCUGGUAGUCCAUACCGUAAACGAUGAAUGCUAAGUGUUGGAGGGUUUCCGCCCUUCAGUGCUGCAGCUAACGCAUUAAGCAUUCCGCCUGGGGAGUACGGCCGCAAGGCUGAAACUCAAAGGAAUUGACGGGGGCCCGCACAAGCGGUGGAGCAUGUGGUUUAAUUCGAAGCUACGCGAAGAACCUUACCAGGUCUUGACAUACUAUGCAAAUCUAAGAGAUUAGACGUUCCCUUCGGGGACAUGGAUACAGGUGGUGCAUGGUUGUCGUCAGCUCGUGUCGUGAGAUGUUGGGUUAAGUCCCGCAACGAGCGCAACCCUUAUUAUCAGUUGCCAGCAUUAAGUUGGGCACUCUGGUGAGACUGCCGGUGACAAACCGGAGGAAGGUGGGGAUGACGUCAAAUCAUCAUGCCCCUUAUGACCUGGGCUACACACGUGCUACAAUGGAUGGUACAACGAGUUGCGAACUCGCGAGAGUAAGCUAAUCUCUUAAAGCCAUUCUCAGUUCGGAUUGUAGGCUGCAACUCGCCUACAUGAAGUCGGAAUCGCUAGUAAUCGCGGAUCAGCAUGCCGCGGUGAAUACGUUCCCGGGCCUUGUACACACCGCCCGUCACACCAUGAGAGUUUGUAACACCCAAAGUCGGUGGGGUAACCUUUUAGGAACCAGCCGCCUAAGGUGGGACAGAUGAUUAGGGUGAAGUCGUAACAAGGU
This 1203-nucleotide ribosomal RNA is filed under the name Lactiplantibacillus plantarum. Its description in RNAcentral is "bacterial SSU rRNA". It matches the Rfam family "Bacterial small subunit ribosomal RNA", at positions 302 to 1497 of the family's 1533-position model. The record is from RNAcentral. Lineage: Bacteria; Bacillati; Bacillota; Bacilli; Lactobacillales; Lactobacillaceae.